Molecule: microRNA precursor, 76 nt
Filed under: Marmota monax (woodchuck)
Lineage: Eukaryota; Metazoa; Chordata; Mammalia; Rodentia; Sciuridae
Source: RNAcentral
UGUGUGUGUGUGUGUGUGUGUGCGCAUGCGCAUGUGUAUGUGUGUGUGUAUGUGCACACAUGCACACACAUGCACA